Molecule: long non-coding RNA, 1041 nt
Organism: Ceratitis capitata (Mediterranean fruit fly)
Lineage: Eukaryota; Metazoa; Arthropoda; Insecta; Diptera; Tephritidae
Exons: 3
Source: RefSeq, a predicted model, not a curated record
UGUCACGUAUAACAUCACAGACAUACAUCAUACCGUGCCACAGUGUGCAUUGAUAAUAUUGCAGCAUCGCAUUAUGAACAUAUCGCAAUCGCAUGCAAUCGGACAAGAAAUAUAGUGAAUAAAUAAAAAAAAUAUUGUUAUUCUUUAAAACAGUUUUCAAUACAUUCGGAUUAAAAAAUUAAUAUAUGUACAUAAUAGCCUAAACUCUUUAUGCUUCAACUAAACAUGCAAUAAUUAAUAUGAACUCUUCUUCUGCAUUUUUAAAACAAAUCAAUAACAAAUUGGACUUAAAGUUUUUAAUAGAAACUGUGACCGAAAGCGUUGGUAAUGACAAUUGUUUUGAUCCCUGCAAAUUGCUAAAACUUCCAUUUGAUUAAAUAUACAUAUAAGUAUACAAAAAUAUACACUAAUUAGAAACAACGGAGACAAAGGUGAUUACUAUGUAAUAGACGUCUCACUAUCUGACAAUAAAAAUGUUAGAAGUUAGGUUCAACUAACGAUAACAGUGGCCCACGUGCAUAGCAAUGCCGUUAUGGUGGAGAAAAGCUGAUGAGUUCCAUGCAAUAGCUUCAACGCAGUCGAAGGAAAAUAUUAUGUGUGACUCUCUUAACACUGUGAAACAAUGACGAAGAGUUGAACCAAAUCUAACGAAGUUUUGGACAAUGACGCGACCAGAAGCUUGAACGGUGAAAACUAUGACUUGAAUGACAGAUAUUGUUCUACAAAAAAUCUUGCAGCAUUUCAAGUUGUUUCCAAAAAUUAUAUUAAUGACUGGUCAGAUUUUUCCUUGCAGAAGUCGACGAUAAAUAUAUAUAUUAUUUUUCCUUAUAUUCAUUUUUGCUACUCUUAUAUUUUUUAAGUCUUUUUCCCGUAAAUUCUAAGCGGUCCUCCCACGACAUUGUUUUUAAAGGCUCAUAUUCGUUAAGGGUGUUAACAGAAUUGUAAAAAAGAUAGAAAAGACUUCGAAAAAAUCUGAUGACCCAACUCACCCCAAACAUAGCGCGGAGAUCAGGAUCCCGGAAUCGAAAAGGUAUAUUGGAG